UCUCUUGGUAUCCUCAUAUAUAUGCUAGGGAUCUUUUGGUAUCCCGACAAUCUCUUGGUAUCCUCAAUAUAUACUAGGGAUCUCUUGGUAUCCUAAGGAUCUCUUAGUAUCCUCAAUAUAUGUGUUGGAGUUCUCUCAGUAUCCUACACUUGAAAUAAAAAAUACAUACAGGGGAUCUCCCAGAAUAUCAACCCGUAGUCCCAAAAUAAAGCACACAGCAAUCACACAAAGAAUACUCAAUUAAAAUCAACUUCAUACCA
Molecule: long non-coding RNA, 260 nt
Filed under: Nicotiana benthamiana
Lineage: Eukaryota; Viridiplantae; Streptophyta; Magnoliopsida; Solanales; Solanaceae
Description: long non-coding RNA (NBEN_LNC028878)
Source: RNAcentral